UUAAAUAGAACUGGCAUCCUCAUCAGCAGAAGAAAUCAAUGUUUCAUUCAUUAAAGAUAUCCAUACUUAUAUAGGGAACACAUGUUUGCCAGAUGGUGCCAGUUCAUGGUUGCUGUUAGAGGGAGAGGUCUGCCCCUACUAAAAACUGGUUCCUGUCCUGCCUGCCAAAACCAUCCCAGCCGCUGGGUUAUGCUGAGCUGCUUGCUUGCUUCGGUGCACCCAGAGCAGAUGCCACUGCACCUCCUCAAGCUUGGGCUACUUUGCAACCUCAGACAACUAAGUAAUGUACAAAAUGAUGUUUUGUGGGAGGAAAGAAUACAAGCUUAUAUCUAGUGUCUAGAUGCCAUACUCUUGUAACAGUGCUGAUACAGACAUUUUUUUAGUCCCAGCAUUUUUCAAAUUAUGUGGUUUAAUGCAGUUUGCUAAUACAUACAGUAACCAGAAGUUAUUUUAAAGGGCAGUGUGUAUUUAAUAGAUGCCAAAUAUAUGUUAUAUAAGCACUGCAAAUGUUAGACAGUGUAUUUUAAAGUUUUAGACUGCUGUUAAUGGGAACAAACAUGUUUGUAGUCUCUGAAUACUGAAAUGGUUUGGUCUCUAUUUCUUGUAAUUAUAAAAUUUCAUAUGUACUCAGAGUAGAUCUCCAUGUACAUGUUAUGAAAUAUUUCAUCCAAACACAUGUACAAGAUAAAUGCAAUGGGAGUGCACCUUGACUUGCAUCAAGAAAUCAAAGUGAACAUGCAGGAAAGAGAGUACGGUACACCAAACAGCAGGUUUUUAACCUUUUUAACCUUUCUAACCAUGCAGAAAGGACUGAUUGAAAGAUGUUAUGUUUGUAGUUCAGCAGAGAAAACUCUGUGUGUGUGCAUGUGAUGGACGGCUAUAGUAUUAGAAAUAAUUAGAAUUAACAUACUUUUUCUUGUUUCUUAAAGAGCUUGUAUUCCUGUGGAAUGUUACGAGUGGAGGAUAAUGUGAAUGUGCACACUGCUCACUGUGAAUGACAGUGAGCAGUGUGCAGUGCAUGCCUGGGUGGUUUCUUCUUCCCACAGCUUGUAGCCAUAUGCGUCAGGGCACUACUUAAAGCUGGCAAGUGUGCUGCACUGUGUGUUACUGUCACUUGGGGGACACUCCAUCUCAUACAAACCUACCUCAGCUAGGGUUUUCCUAUCCCACUCACCAUGGGAGAAGUCUGGUGAUUCUUCCUGCAACUGCAAAAGGUACUGUGCAGCCCACAAAUGUAAUUUUUCCUGUGUUCCCUGCCACAGCCAAGCAACAAAAGCAGGGGGAGAAAGGAAGUUGGCUGCAGCAUUGUGUGGCAAGCCCAAUGUCAAUGACAAAAGAGGAGGACCAGGUUUAGUGGGCAUUUCUUGAGCUUCCCUCCUAAUACUGCUAGACAAGUAUCUUCAGCACUCCCUCAGCCUAGGAGCACCAGGUCCCUUUCCUUGGAACAUGCCUAUUGACAAAAGCACCCUGAAAAUGUCUCAUUCUGCCUCAGACUCUCUCACCUACAGCCCCUUUAUGAAGUUGAGCAGUUCUAGCUCAUCCACCAUCUAUUUUGGCACCCAAAGAUCUUCCCAGCCAUGCAAAGUAGCUUACUUACUGUGACUAUUGCGUGGGGCAAGAUGGGUCACCCAUAUGUUGGUAUCUGUAGCAUUAUUUUUGUGUCUAUGAAAGCUACCUAAUUAAGUCUUUUCCUUAAAUGUCUCAGAUGGGGCUUCCCAGAAACUGUUUUUGAGCUGAUGCUGAUUGCUUCAGCCAGCACAUGUGCAGGGAGCAGCUUAGCUGUGUGCACCACUGAGCAGCCCAGAUGAUGGCUGCAGUGCAGAAGGAGUGCCAGGGGAGGCACAGCUCUGAAAUGCCAUGGAUCCCAGUGGCUGAGCCUCCUGUGGAGACAUCCAGAGAGGACCAUCUCUCAGGAGGAGCACACUUCAUCAGGUUCACCCAUGUGAGAAAAGGGGUCUGAUUAUACGGAGGAGGGCAAAUGAGUAAAGAAACUUCAGGAAGGAGAGAAAUAUUCCAGGGAAUUCUACUGAUAGUGUUUACUUCACCGGAAGGAAAGGGCAGUGCCUUUCUUUCCUUCUGCCCUUGGUUGUCCUGCACACAGGAGGUCACUUGGCUGCCAGCGUUCACCCACAGUCCAGCCUCUGCAGAGUUCCAGCUCUUUCCACUGCAUGCUUCUGACACUGGAACAAAGUGAGCGAGUUAUCUAAGGCUGCAAUCGCUAUUAGGCUCCAGGCAAAAUACUUUUUAUUUAAGGAAAUAAAUUCUAUGUUUGGCACAAAAGUGCCUCUGCCAUGCACUCUUUUCAGUGGAAGAUAUAACCAGGUGCAUAUAAAAGUAUGACUUCAAUAGUUUAGUAUUGGCAGAAACACAAAGCAGCAUUUUAAAUGCUGCCCCUCUGCUCUGAACUGCCAGCAGAAUUGCAUGGCUAUGCAGAGAUACAGGCCUUUGUGCAACGUGAAAACAGCAGCUCCUCAAAAUGGGAAGACUUUGUGAACCUGGGGAACUGGAUUUCCAUCUUUGAUGAGAGAUUAUAGUGUGUGAUAAGUACAUCUGUAUGGAAGAAAAUUAUUUUAAAUAAUUGGGACCUAUAGACUUUCAUGAACAAAAGCAAGCAGUCAGUACCCCUCCUAUCUGCAUUACUGGACAAAAGGAACAAAUUCUCUA
This is a long non-coding RNA of Melopsittacus undulatus (budgerigar), 2664 nucleotides long. RefSeq lists it as uncharacterized. The transcript is spliced from 3 exons. The record is from RefSeq and is a predicted model, not a curated record. NCBI's taxonomy places the organism in Eukaryota, Metazoa, Chordata, Aves, Psittaciformes, Psittaculidae.